RNAcentral lists this ribosomal RNA (111 nucleotides) under uncultured bacterium. Its description in RNAcentral is "partial 16S ribosomal RNA". It matches the Rfam family "Bacterial small subunit ribosomal RNA", at positions 1373 to 1482 of the family's 1533-position model. The record is from RNAcentral.
CCCGGGCCUUGUACACACCGCCCGUCACACCACGGGAGUGAGCAACACCCGAAGCCGGUGGCCUAACCCGCAAGGGAGGGAGCCGUCGAAGGUGGGCUCGUGACUGGGGUG